CCUACGUGGGGCUGCAGUGGGGAAUAUUGGACAAUGGGCGAAAGCCUGAUCCAGCCAUGCCGCGUGUGUGAAGAAGGCCUUCGGGUUGUAAAGCACUUUCAGUGGGGAAGAAAGCCUUGGGGCUAAUACCCUCGAGGAAGGACAUCACCCACAGAAGAAGCACCGGCUAACUCCGUGCCAGCAGCCGCGGUAAUACGGAGGGUGCGAGCGUUAAUCGGAAUUACUGGGCGUAAAGCGCGCGUAGGCGGUCUGAUAAGCCGGUUGUGAAAGCCCCGGGCUCAACCUGGGAACGGCAUCCGGAACUGUCAGGCUAGAGUGCAGGAGAGGAAGGUAGACUUCCCGGUGUAGCGGUGAAAUGCGUAGAGAUCGGGAGGAAUACCAGUGGCGAAGGCGGCCUUCUGGACUGACACUGACGCUGAGGUGCGAAAGCGUGGGUAGCAAACAGGAUUAGAUACCCCGGUAGUC
RNAcentral lists this ribosomal RNA (465 nucleotides) under Vreelandella stevensii. RNAcentral's name for it is "partial 16S ribosomal RNA". It matches the Rfam family "Bacterial small subunit ribosomal RNA", at positions 338 to 795 of the family's 1533-position model. Lineage: Bacteria; Pseudomonadati; Pseudomonadota; Gammaproteobacteria; Oceanospirillales; Halomonadaceae. The record is from RNAcentral.